UCGAGGGGCAGCGGGGAGGUAGCAAUACUUCCGCCGGCGACCGGCGCACGGGUGAGUAACACGUAUGGAACCUGCCCGUAGCAGGGGGAUAAGCGGAAGAAAUUCCGUCUAAUACCGCGUAAUAACUCCGAGAGGCAUCUCUUGGGGUUUAAAGGGUAACACCGGCUACGGAUGGCCAUGCGGCGCAUUAGCUAGUUGGCGGGGUAACGGCCCACCAAGGCGACGAUGCGUAGGGGUUCUGAGAGGAAGGUCCCCCACACUGGUACUGAGACACGGACCAGACUCCUACGGGAGGCAGCAGUGAGGAAUAUUGGUCAAUGGGCGCGAGCCUGAACCAGCCAAGUCGCGUGAGGGAAGACGGUCCUAUGGAUUGUAAACCUCUUUUGUCGGGGAGCAAAAGACGUCACGUGUGGCGUUCCGAGAGUACCCGAAGAAAAAGCAUCGGCUAACUCCGUGCCAGCAGCCGCGGUAAUACGGAGGAUGCGAGCGUUAUCCGGAUUUAUUGGGUUUAAAGGGUGCGUAGGCGGAAGAUCAAGUCAGCGGUAAAAUUGAGAGGCUCAACCUCUUCGAGCCGUUGAAACUGGUUUUCUUGAGUGAGCGAGAAGUAUGCGGAAUGCGUGGUGUAGCGGUGAAAUGCAUAGAUAUCACGCAGAACUCCGAUUGCGAAGGCAGCAUACCGGCGCUCAACUGACGCUCAUGCACGAAAGUGUGGGUAUCGAACAGGAUUAGAUACCCUGGUAGUCCACACAGUANACGAUGAAUACUAAUUGUUCG
RNAcentral lists this ribosomal RNA (774 nucleotides) under uncultured bacterium. Its description in RNAcentral is "bacterial SSU rRNA". It matches the Rfam family "Bacterial small subunit ribosomal RNA", at positions 62 to 826 of the family's 1533-position model. The record is from RNAcentral.